RNAcentral lists this unclassified non-coding RNA (387 nucleotides) under uncultured Verrucomicrobiae bacterium. Its description in RNAcentral is "contains 16S-23S intergenic spacer region". Lineage: Bacteria; Pseudomonadati; Verrucomicrobiota; Verrucomicrobiia. The record is from RNAcentral.
UCCUCGUUUGAGCGAGGCAGUCUGUCCAGAGUGCUUCAGCCUCUCGGCCAAGUGGCAACAGGACAUAAGGGUUGCGCUCGUUGCGGGACUUAACCCAACAUCUCACGACACGAGCUGACGACAGCCAUGCAGCACCUGUGCACGCUGGUAUUGCUACCUCGUCCCCCUUUCAGGGUUCUACUACAUGCAUGUCAAGGCCAGGUAAGGUUCUUCGCGUUGCAUCGAAUUAAGCCACAUACUCCACCGCUUGUGCAGGCCCCCGUCAAUUUCUUUGAGUUUUAAUCUUGCGACCGUACUUCCCAGGCGGCAUAUUUAACGCGUUAGCUUCGCCACAAAAGGGGUCGAUUCCUUUUACAGCAAAUAUGCACUGUUUACAGCUAGGACUAC